AUACUUACCUGGCAGGGGAGAUACCAUGAUCACGAAGGUGGUUUUCCCAGGGCGAGGCUUAUCCAUUGCACUCCGGAUGUGCUGACCCCUGCGAUUGCGUCUGCCUUCGGCUCAGGUCAUGAUCCCAGGGUCCUGGG
Molecule: small nuclear RNA, 137 nt
Filed under: Zalophus californianus (California sea lion)
Lineage: Eukaryota; Metazoa; Chordata; Mammalia; Carnivora; Otariidae
Description: U1 spliceosomal RNA (ENSZCAG00015013134.1)
Rfam family: U1 spliceosomal RNA
About the family: U1 is a small nuclear RNA (snRNA) component of the spliceosome (involved in pre-mRNA splicing). Its 5' end forms complementary base pairs with the 5' splice junction, thus defining the 5' donor site of an intron.
Source: RNAcentral